Molecule: long non-coding RNA, 919 nt
Filed under: Homo sapiens (human)
Lineage: Eukaryota; Metazoa; Chordata; Mammalia; Primates; Hominidae
Description: novel transcript
Source: RNAcentral
AGAAGCACUCUAGCUACAGAUUAGAAUGAUGACAAGAGUAAUACCUUCCUAGUGAAGAUGACUUUUAUUUCAGGACUAUAUUAAGUUUCCCAACUUCUGUCAUGAUAUAGUCCAAAGAGAACCUGGACCACGCAGACAUCAAACAGAACAUGACACUGACCCAUUCUAUCAGUGACGUUGUGCUGAUUGCACAGGACAGAUGAGAGGCUCGUAUACUAGAAGUCUUGUUUCACAUGUCCACAGAUGAAGAAAAAUUGUGCCCCAGCAAGGAUUAUACCCAGAGCCUCAUCCAUUCAUACCUGAUUUAGAUACUUAGAUGAUGAGUAAUAGAAAAGCAUCAUCUUUAUGUAAAUCACUGUACUUGGCUUCGUGAGAAAUAUAAAAAUGAAUUGCUUCAAUCCCUGGACUCAAGGAUCCUGUGUUACCAAGGUGGUUAUCAAACCUGGGUCAAAGUUGAAUCACCUGAGGAUCUUUUAGAACAUACACAGUCAUAUGAUACUUCAAAAUCUGUGAUUCCAUGAAGCCAAGAGUAGCUCUUCAACAGGAAAUGAAUGAGUGCUUCAGCUUCUGAUCCCAUUAGUAAGAAAAUACAGUCUUAUGAGCAAUGAUGGAGCUGCAUCUCUUAGGGGCAUUUGAUUCCCAAGAGACCAAAGAGCAAAGAGAAUGUCAAUUUAAAAAAAUCAAAUGUUUCCAUGACUUAGCUAUUUAACUGCUUUAAAAUGAAUGAAUGCUGCUUCAAGUUCUUUCAAAUACCCCACAUCUUGGCAACAACGAAAGGAAUUAACAUGAAGAAAAUUUACAAUCUUUCAUCACAUCGAACAAUGUCCCACAUUUGAAAAGUUCACAGCACAGAUUUCUGGUUACUGAAAGAAAGGAAAGACCUUCUUUGGAUUUGAAUAAACAGAUGGACUUUCUUCUC